RNAcentral lists this ribosomal RNA (254 nucleotides) under uncultured bacterium. RNAcentral describes it as "partial 16S ribosomal RNA". It matches the Rfam family "Bacterial small subunit ribosomal RNA", at positions 524 to 776 of the family's 1533-position model. The record is from RNAcentral.
UACAGAGGUCUCAAGCGUUUGUUCGGAUUCAUUGGGCGUAAAGGGUGCGUAGGUGGCGGGGUAAGUCAGGUGUGAAAUCUCGGGGCUCAACCCCGAAACUGCACUUGAUACUGCCUUGCUUGAGUACUGGAGAGGAGAUUGGAAUUUACGGUGUAGCAGUGAAAUGCGUAGAUAUCGUAAGGAACACCAGUGGCGAAGGCGACUCGCUGGACAGACAUUGACGCUGAGGUGCGAAAGCGUGGGGAGCAAACAGG